Molecule: ribosomal RNA, 2906 nt
Filed under: Escherichia coli
Lineage: Bacteria; Pseudomonadati; Pseudomonadota; Gammaproteobacteria; Enterobacterales; Enterobacteriaceae
Description: 23S ribosomal RNA
Rfam family: Bacterial large subunit ribosomal RNA
Source: RNAcentral
GGUUAAGCGACUAAGCGUACACGGUGGAUGCCCUGGCAGUCAGAGGCGAUGAAGGACGUGCUAAUCUGCGAUAAGCGUCGGUAAGGUGAUAUGAACCGUUAUAACCGGCGAUUUCCGAAUGGGGAAACCCAGUGUGUUUCGACACACUAUCAUUAACUGAAUCCAUAGGUUAAUGAGGCGAACCGGGGGAACUGAAACAUCUAAGUACCCCGAGGAAAAGAAAUCAACCGAGAUUCCCCCAGUAGCGGCGAGCGAACGGGGAGCAGCCCAGAGCCUGAAUCAGUGUGUGUGUUAGUGGAAGCGUCUGGAAAGGCGCGCGAUACAGGGUGACAGCCCCGUACACAAAAAUGCACAUGCUGUGAGCUCGAUGAGUAGGGCGGGACACGUGGUAUCCUGUCUGAAUAUGGGGGGACCAUCCUCCAAGGCUAAAUACUCCUGACUGACCGAUAGUGAACCAGUACCGUGAGGGAAAGGCGAAAAGAACCCCGGCGAGGGGAGUGAAAAAGAACCUGAAACCGUGUACGUACAAGCAGUGGGAGCACAGAGCAAUCUGUGUGACUGCGUACCUUUUGUAUAAUGGGUCAGCGACUUAUAUUCUGUAGCAAGGUUAACCGAAUAGGGGAGCCGAAGGGAAACCGAGUCUUAACUGGGCGUUAAGUUGCAGGGUAUAGACCCGAAACCCGGUGAUCUAGCCAUGGGCAGGUUGAAGGUUGGGUAACACUAACUGGAGGACCGAACCGACUAAUGUUGAAAAAUUAGCGGAUGACUUGUGGCUGGGGGUGAAAGGCCAAUCAAACCGGGAGAUAGCUGGUUCUCCCCGAAAGCUAUUUAGGUAGCGCCUCGUGAAUUCAUCUCCGGGGGUAGAGCACUGUUUCGGCAAGGGGGUCAUCCCGACUUACCAACCCGAUGCAAACUGCGAAUACCGGAGAAUGUUAUCACGGGAGACACACGGCGGGUGCUAACGUCCGUCGUGAAGAGGGAAACAACCCAGACCGCCAGCUAAGGUCCCAAAGUCAUGGUUAAGUGGGAAACGAUGUGGGAAGGCCCAGACAGCCAGGAUGUUGGCUUAGAAGCAGCCAUCAUUUAAAGAAAGCGUAAUAGCUCACUGGUCGAGUCGGCCUGCGCGGAAGAUGUAACGGGGCUAAACCAUGCACCGAAGCUGCGGCAGCGACGCUUAUGCGUUGUUGGGUAGGGGAGCGUUCUGUAAGCCUGCGAAGGUGUGCUGUGAGGCAUGCUGGAGGUAUCAGAAGUGCGAAUGCUGACAUAAGUAACGAUAAAGCGGGUGAAAAGCCCGCUCGCCGGAAGACCAAGGGUUCCUGUCCAACGUUAAUCGGGGCAGGGUGAGUCGACCCCUAAGGCGAGGCCGAAAGGCGUAGUCGAUGGGAAACAGGUUAAUAUUCCUGUACUUGGUGUUACUGCGAAGGGGGGACGGAGAAGGCUAUGUUGGCCGGGCGACGGUUGUCCCGGUUUAAGCGUGUAGGCUGGUUUUCCAGGCAAAUCCGGAAAACUAAGGCUGAGGCGUGAUGACGAGGCACUACGGUGCUGAAGCAACAAAUGCCCUGCUUCCAGGAAAAGCCUCUAAGCAUCAGGUAACAUCAAAUCGUACCCCAAACCGACACAGGUGGUCAGGUAGAGAAUACCAAGGCGCUUGAGAGAACUCGGGUGAAGGAACUAGGCAAAAUGGUGCCGUAACUUCGGGAGAAGGCACGCUGAUAUGUAGGUGAAGUCCCUCGCGGAUGGAGCUGAAAUCAGUCGAAGAUACCAGCUGGCUGCAACUGUUUAUUAAAAACACAGCACUGUGCAAACACGAAAGUGGACGUAUACGGUGUGACGCCUGCCCGGUGCCGGAAGGUUAAUUGAUGGGGUCAGCGCAAGCGAAGCUCUUGAUCGAAGCCCCGGUAAACGGCGGCCGUAACUAUAACGGUCCUAAGGUAGCGAAAUUCCUUGUCGGGUAAGUUCCGACCUGCACGAAUGGCGUAAUGAUGGCCAGGCUGUCUCCACCCGAGACUCAGUGAAAUUGAACUCGCUGUGAAGAUGCAGUGUACCCGCGGCAAGACGGAAAGACCCCGUGAACCUUUACUAUAGCUUGACACUGAACAUUGAGCCUUGAUGUGUAGGAUAGGUGGGAGGCUUAGAAGUGUGGACGCCAGUCUGCAUGGAGCCGACCUUGAAAUACCACCCUUUAAUGUUUGAUGUUCUAACGUGGACCCGUGAUCCGGGUUGCGGACAGUGUCUGGUGGGUAGUUUGACUGGGGCGGUCUCCUCCUAAAGAGUAACGGAGGAGCACGAAGGUUGGCUAAUCCUGGUCGGACAUCAGGAGGUUAGUGCAAUGGCAUAAGCCAGCUUGACUGCGAGCGUGACGGCGCGAGCAGGUGCGAAAGCAGGUCAUAGUGAUCCGGUGGUUCUGAAUGGAAGGGCCAUCGCUCAACGGAUAAAAGGUACUCCGGGGAUAACAGGCUGAUACCGCCCAAGAGUUCAUAUCGACGGCGGUGUUUGGCACCUCGAUGUCGGCUCAUCACAUCCUGGGGCUGAAGUAGGUCCCAAGGGUAUGGCUGUUCGCCAUUUAAAGUGGUACGCGAGCUGGGUUUAGAACGUCGUGAGACAGUUCGGUCCCUAUCUGCCGUGGGCGCUGGAGAACUGAGGGGGGCUGCUCCUAGUACGAGAGGACCGGAGUGGACGCAUCACUGGUGUUCGGGUUGUCAUGCCAAUGGCACUGCCCGGUAGCUAAAUGCGGAAGAGAUAAGUGCUGAAAGCAUCUAAGCACGAAACUUGCCCCGAGAUGAGUUCUCCCUGACUCCUUGAGAGUCCUGAAGGAACGUUGAAGACGACGACGUUGAUAGGCCGGGUGUGUAAGCGCAGCGAUGCGUUGAGCUAACCGGUACUAAUGAACCGUGAGGCUUAACCUU